RNAcentral lists this ribosomal RNA (436 nucleotides) under uncultured bacterium. Its description in RNAcentral is "bacterial SSU rRNA". It matches the Rfam family "Bacterial small subunit ribosomal RNA", at positions 355 to 786 of the family's 1533-position model. The record is from RNAcentral.
UAGGGAAUUUUCGUCAAUGGGCGCAAGCCUGAACGAGCAAUGCCGCGUGAGUGAGGAAGGUCUUCGGACUGUAAAGCUCUGUUGCCGGGGAAAAAGGGGAAAUGCAGGAAAUGGCAUUUCAUGGAUGGUACCCGGCCAGAAAGCCACGGCUAACUACGUGCCAGCAGCCGCGGUAAUACGUAGGUGGCGAGCGUUAUCCGGAAUGAUUGGGCAGGUAAGGUGCAGGCGGUCUGUUAAGUCUGAAGGCAAAGGGAUGAGCUCAACUCAUUUAUGAUUCAGAAACUGGCAGACUUGAGGACAGGAGAGGGCGGUGGAACUCCAUGUGUAGCGGUAAAAUGCGCAGAGAUAUGGAAGAACACCAGUGGCGAAGGCGGCCGCCUGGCCUGUGACUGACGCUGAGGCACGAAAGCGUGGGGAGCAAAUAGGAUUAGAUACC